Molecule: ribosomal RNA, 496 nt
Filed under: uncultured bacterium
Lineage: Bacteria
Description: partial 16S ribosomal RNA
Rfam family: Bacterial small subunit ribosomal RNA
Source: RNAcentral
GAUGAACGCUGGCGGCGUGCCUAAUACAUGCAAGUCGAGCGAACAGACGAGGAGCUUGCUCCUCUGACGUUAGCGGCGGACGGGUGAGUAACACGUGGAUAACCUACCUAUAAGACUGGGAUAACUUCGGGAAACCGGAGCUAAUACCGGAUAAUAUAUUGAACCGCAUGGUUCAAUAGUGAAAGACGGUUUUGCUGUCACUUAUAGAUGGAUCCGCGCCGCAUUAGCUAGUUGGUAAGGUAACGGCUUACCAAGGCAACGAUGCGUAGCCGACCUGAGGGGGUGAUCGGCCACACUGGAACUGAGACACGGUCCAGACUCCUACGGGAGGCAGCAGUAGGGAAUCUUCCGCAAUGGGCGAAAGCCUGACGGAGCAACGCCGCGUGAGUGAUGAAGGUCUUCGGAUCGUAAAACUCUGUAUUAGGGAAGAACAAAUGUGUAAGUAACUAUGCACGUCUUGACGGUACCUAAUCAGAAAGCCACGGCUAACUACGUG